Molecule: ribosomal RNA, 769 nt
Filed under: Paenibacillus illinoisensis
Lineage: Bacteria; Bacillati; Bacillota; Bacilli; Caryophanales; Paenibacillaceae
Description: bacterial SSU rRNA
Rfam family: Bacterial small subunit ribosomal RNA
Source: RNAcentral
GGCGUGCGGCAUGACUAAUACAUGCAGUCGAGCGGACUUGAUGAGAAGCUUGCUUCUCUGAUGGUUAGCGGCGGACGGGUGAGUAACACGUAGGCAACCUGCCCUCAAGCUUGGGACAACUACCGGAAACGGUAGCUAAUACCGAAUACUUGCUUUCUUCGCCUGAAGGGAGCUGGAAAGACGGAGCAAUCUGUCACUUGAGGAUGGGCCUGCGGCGCAUUAGCUAGUUGGUGAGGUAACGGCUCACCAAGGCGACGAUGCGUAGCCGACCUGAGAGGGUGAUCGGCCACACUGGGACUGAGACACGGCCCAGACUCCUACGGGAGGCAGCAGUAGGGAAUCUUCCGCAAUGGGCGAAAGCCUGACGGAGCAAUGCCGCGUGAGUGAUGAAGGUUUUCGGAUCGUAAAGCUCUGUUGCCAGGGAAGAACGUCCUUGAGAGUAACUGCUCAAGGAGUGACGGUACCUGAGAAGAAAGCCCCGGCUAACUACGUGCCAGCAGCCGCGGUAAUACGUAGGGGGCAAGCGUUGUCCGGAAUUAUUGGGCGUAAAGCGCGCGCAGGCGGUCAUUUAAGUCUGGUGUUUAAUCCCGGGGCUCAACCCCGGAUCGCACUGGAAACUGGAUGACUUGAGUGCAGAAGAGGAGAGUGGAAUUCCACGUGUAGCGGUGAAAUGCGUAGAGAUGUGGAGGAACACCAGUGGCGAAGGCGACUCUCUGGGCUGUAACUGACGCUGAGGCGCGAAAGCGUGGGGAGCAAACAGGAUUAGAUA